Molecule: non-coding RNA, 78 nt
Organism: Desmophyllum pertusum
Lineage: Eukaryota; Metazoa; Cnidaria; Anthozoa; Scleractinia; Caryophylliidae
Source: the annotation of a GenBank genome assembly
GGCGCAGUGGCCUAAUGGUUAAUGGUGUGUUGGACUCCGAAUCGAGCGGUCCGGGUUUGAGCACUGGCCUGGGUGUCA